UGGAUGACUAAUUGAGUGGACACGUGAAUCGCGCUGGGGAAGGGGUCUGGCCGGAGCAUGGAUUGGUGAGCGUGGGCACCAGGUGGUAGGGGGUGGUGGAUGAUGCACCAAAACAGAGCGGGUAACAAAGUGAGAAGGGUGCCAAGUCCGAAACCUGGAAUGGUGCCCCCUCUAGCCGGUCAGGAGACUUAAAGAGGAAAGAGACCUGGUGACGGACUGAGAAAGAGGAUUCCCAGAGCGGGGGACGGGGGUUAGGGGGCUAGGAGAGAGUGGGGUCUUGGAACUCACCGAAGCUGCCUUUGGAAAUGGGACCCAGACCGUUUGCAGAGCACUUCCAACCCAAGAGCUUACGUGGUCCUCCCAAUAGCAAGGUAAAUAGAAGUACCUACUGGAAACCAGGCUCAGCUAACCAGCAGGCCCCACUAUAAACUGCUAGUUGAUAGCAGUACUGAACCCAGAUUUUCUGACACCAUGGCCAGGACUCUCUUCACUACCCAGCUUUCUUUUGGUUAAAGAAAAAAAAAGUUCCUCCUACCCUUUAUGAUGUACAAAGUCAGCAGGUUCUCCCAACCUGCUGGUUCUCCCCAACCCCACCUUCAAACCUUUGCUUGUGUAUUGUCCUUUGAUCCUAGAUGGCCCACCUCUUUUCCUCUUUGCUGGUCUAAAUUCUACUCCUUCAAGCUCUUGCUUAAAUCCCUCUGUAAAGCCUCCCCUGAGGAUUCCAAUUCACUCUGACUUCUCUUUUUUUUUAGAUUCCUGUGGCAAAUACACCUUCCAGUGACAUCUCACACACACACACACACACACACACACACACACANNNNNNNNNNNNNNNNNNNNNNNNNNNNNNNNNNNNNNGGGGGGGGGGGGGGGGGGGGGGGGGCAGGACUUGUGGCUUGCUUUUAGGCAAUAGAACAUGACAAAGGUGAUGUGUGUCACUCCUAUGAUGACAGUUACAUUAUAUAACACUUCUUAGGAGACUGGGGUCAGAGAGUCUCCUGCUGGCUCUGAGGAAGAAAGCUGCCAUGUUGUGAUUUGCUUAUGGAGAAGACCCAUGGCAGGGAGCAGCAGGGGCCUCUGGGAGCUGAGACUCGCCCCUAGCUGACAGCAAGAAAACAGGACCCUCAGUCCGGUGUCUGGAAGAAAUUCUGCCAAUGCCUGCAUCAGCUUGGGAGAAGAUCCUGGGCUCCAGUAAGAAACAGAGCCACGCCAGCAUCUUGACUGCAGGCUUGUGAGACGCCACAGGGGACUUGGCUAAGUUGAACCCAGACUCCUCACCCACAAAAACUAUGAAA
RNAcentral lists this long non-coding RNA (1295 nucleotides) under Lynx pardinus (Iberian lynx). The record is from RNAcentral. Lineage: Eukaryota; Metazoa; Chordata; Mammalia; Carnivora; Felidae.